AUCGAAUAACAGAUGAAAUAAUAGAGUCAGAUGAGUAUUAUUGAGAGUUAGAAAGCAAAAUUAGAAAAAAUAAAAAAAGUAUUGCAACCCGUCGCACCUGCAGCCAAAUCUUCAGUAUUCAAUAGCAACGCCCAAGAUUUUAUUCCAAAGUCAAACCCCAUUUACGCAUUCUAGUCGGGAUACAAGUUCGACCUCAAGCCAAAAUCAUCGCCUACCCAUGUUAACGCUACCAAAUUUUAGCAGAGAUAUAUUAGAAUGGAAAUAUUUCUGAGAUUCACUUGAAUCGACAAUUCAUCUUAACAACACACUAUCCGACAUACAGAAAUUCUCAUAUUUAAAGUCUUCAUUGUAGUCAGAUGCCGCAUACGUAGUCUCAGGCCUCACCAUGACCAACCCAAAUUAUUACAAGGCUCUUGAACUUUUAAAGAAUCGUUAUGGUCAAACC
This 445-nucleotide long non-coding RNA is filed under the name Mytilus galloprovincialis (Mediterranean mussel). The record is from RNAcentral. Lineage: Eukaryota; Metazoa; Mollusca; Bivalvia; Mytilida; Mytilidae.